Molecule: ribosomal RNA, 254 nt
Filed under: uncultured bacterium
Lineage: Bacteria
Description: partial 16S ribosomal RNA
Rfam family: Bacterial small subunit ribosomal RNA
Source: RNAcentral
UACGAGGGGGGCGAGCGUUGUUCGGAAUUAUUGGGCGUAAAGAGCUCGUAGGCGGUGUGUCACGUCGGCCGUGAAAACCUGCAGCUUAACUGUGGGCGUGCGGUCGAUACGGGCAUCACUGGAGUUCGGCAGGGGAGACUGGAAUUCCUGGUGUAGCGGUGAAAUGCGCAGAUAUCAGGAGGAACACCGGUGGCGAAGGCGGGUCUCUGGGCCGGAACUGACGCUGAGGAGCGAAAGCGUGGGGAGCGAACAGG